AUACGGAGGGUGCAAGCGUUAUUCGGAAUCACUGGGCGUAAAGGACGCGUAGGCGGGUUGGCAAGUCAGGUGUGAAAUCCUACAGCUUAACUGUAGAACUGCAUUUGAAACUGCUAACCUAGAGUAUGGGAGGGGGAGAUGGAAUUAGUGGUGUAGGGGUAAAAUCCGUAGAUAUCACUAGGAAUACCGAAAGCGAAGGCGAUCUCCUGGAACAUAACUGACGCUAAGGCGUGAAAGCGUGGGGAGCAAACAGGAUUAGAAACCCUAGUAGUCC
This 274-nucleotide ribosomal RNA is filed under the name uncultured bacterium. Its description in RNAcentral is "partial 16S ribosomal RNA". It matches the Rfam family "Bacterial small subunit ribosomal RNA", at positions 523 to 796 of the family's 1533-position model. The record is from RNAcentral.